RNAcentral lists this non-coding RNA (26 nucleotides) under Homo sapiens (human). Lineage: Eukaryota; Metazoa; Chordata; Mammalia; Primates; Hominidae. The record is from RNAcentral.
UGGGAAAAAUUUGGCCGAAAAGAGUG